RNAcentral lists this ribosomal RNA (757 nucleotides) under Salmonella enterica. RNAcentral describes it as "partial 23S ribosomal RNA". It matches the Rfam family "Bacterial large subunit ribosomal RNA", at positions 1 to 798 of the family's 2925-position model. The record is from RNAcentral. Lineage: Bacteria; Pseudomonadati; Pseudomonadota; Gammaproteobacteria; Enterobacterales; Enterobacteriaceae.
GAGGUUAAGCGACUAAGCGUACACGGUGGAUGCCCUGGCAGUCAGAGGCGAUGAAGGACGUGCUAAUCUGCGAUAAGCGCCGGUAAGGUGAUAUGAACCGUUAUAACCGGCGAUUUCCGAAUGGGGAAACCCAGUGUGACUCGUCACACUAUCAUUAACUGAAUCCAUAGGUUAAUGAGGCGAACCGGGGGAACUGAAACAUCUAAGUACCCCGAGGAAAAGAAAUCAACCGAGAUUCCCCCAGUAGCGGCGAGCGAACGGGGAGGAGCCCAGAGCCUGAAUCAGCAUGUGUGUUAGUGGAAGCGUCUGGAAAGGCGCGCGAUACAGGGUGACAGCCCCGUACACAAAAGCGCAUGUGCUGUGAGCUCGAUGAGUAGGGCGGGACACGUGGUAUCCUGUCUGAAUAUGGGGGGACCAUCCUCCAAGGCUAAAUACUCCUGACUGACCGAUAGUGAACCAGUACCGUGAGGGAAAGGCGAAAAGAACCCCGGCGAGGGGAGUGAAAAAGAACCUGAAACCGUGUACGUACAAGCAGUGGGAGCACCCUUUGGGGUGUGACUGCGUACCUUUUGUAUAAUGGGUCAGCGACUUAUAUUCUGUAGCAAGGUUAACCGAAUAGGGGAGCCGGAGGGAAACCGAGUCUUAAUUGGGCGUUAAGUUGCAGGGUAUAGACCCGAAACCCGGUGAUCUAGCCAUGGGCAGGUUGAAGGUUGGGUAACACUAACUGGAGGACCGAACCGACUAAUGUUGAAAAAUU